Molecule: non-coding RNA, 256 nt
Filed under: Niallia circulans
Lineage: Bacteria; Bacillati; Bacillota; Bacilli; Caryophanales; Bacillaceae
Description: Bacillus circulans T-box sequence
Rfam family: T-box leader
About the family: Uncharged tRNA acts as the effector for transcription antitermination of genes in the T-box leader family. T-boxes are found upstream of many aminoacyl-tRNA synthetase genes and some amino acid biosynthetic genes usually in Gram-positive bacteria.
Source: RNAcentral
AUACAUGCGAUGAAGAGAAGAGUACAAUCAUGCAAUUCUUCAAAGAGAGCUCCAGUUGGUGGAAAGGAGUAGGAAUAAUGGUUGGAAGCAAGCCUCUGAGUGGCACAUCGGAUCCAUAUAGGUGAUGGUGUGACAGGUGCUCCUGUUAUCGAGCUAGGGUAUACGUAUGGACUUCAUACCGUACCUACAAAGGAUAAUAUGGUAACAUAUUGUCAAACUGGGGUGGCACCACGGCGCGCAGCAACUCGUCCUCAAG